Molecule: non-coding RNA, 264 nt
Organism: Pelobates cultripes (western spadefoot toad)
Lineage: Eukaryota; Metazoa; Chordata; Amphibia; Anura; Pelobatidae
Source: the annotation of a GenBank genome assembly
GAGCCAGGAACUGGAACCUGGACAAACACCCCAAAAUGAGCCACCCCAAAGCUUUCAGCAGUUAGAUAGCAGUUUGAGGACUCCUCAUUAAAUGUCUUUCAAGACCUAACUAGGGCAAUGCUGCAGUGGCAUACCUCGAAUAGGUGAUAAAAAAAAUAACAAAGCCACCUGAACAACCUCACUGUUUCCCACAAGCGACUGACGCUCCUCAAGGUAGCUCAGGGCGCAUAAGAGCGGAGAAAAUAAAAUGGUGCUUUUUUCCUG